RNAcentral lists this ribosomal RNA (612 nucleotides) under Escherichia coli. RNAcentral describes it as "partial 16S ribosomal RNA". It matches the Rfam family "Bacterial small subunit ribosomal RNA", at positions 172 to 779 of the family's 1533-position model. Lineage: Bacteria; Pseudomonadati; Pseudomonadota; Gammaproteobacteria; Enterobacterales; Enterobacteriaceae. The record is from RNAcentral. RNAcentral also lists the same sequence under 2 other names.
CAUAACGUCGCAAGACCAAAGAGGGGGACCUUCGGGCCUCUUGCCAUCGGAUGUGCCCAGAUGGGAUUAGCUAGUAGGUGGGGUAACGGCUCACCUAGGCGACGAUCCCUAGCUGGUCUGAGAGGAUGACCAGCCACACUGGAACUGAGACACGGUCCAGACUCCUACGGGAGGCAGCAGUGGGGAAUAUUGCACAAUGGGCGCAAGCCUGAUGCAGCCAUGCCGCGUGUAUGAAGAAGGCCUUCGGGUUGUAAAGUACUUUCAGCGGGGAGGAAGGGAGUAAAGUUAAUACCUUUGCUCAUUGACGUUACCCGCAGAAGAAGCACCGGCUAACUCCGUGCCAGCAGCCGCGGUAAUACGGAGGGUGCAAGCGUUAAUCGGAAUUACUGGGCGUAAAGCGCACGCAGGCGGUUUGUUAAGUCAGAUGUGAAAUCCCCGGGCUCAACCUGGGAACUGCAUCUGAUACUGGCAAGCUUGAGUCUCGUAGAGGGGGGUAGAAUUCCAGGUGUAGCGGUGAAAUGCGUAGAGAUCUGGAGGAAUACCGGUGGCGAAGGCGGCCCCCUGGACGAAGACUGACGCUCAGGUGCGAAAGCGUGGGGAGCAAACAGGAUU